Helianthus annuus (common sunflower) is the source of this 676-nucleotide long non-coding RNA. RefSeq lists it as uncharacterized. Lineage: Eukaryota; Viridiplantae; Streptophyta; Magnoliopsida; Asterales; Asteraceae. The record is from RefSeq and is a predicted model, not a curated record. The transcript has 4 exons.
UUUGAAUCCUCGCUCAUCCCACUUCCGCAUACAUCCUGUCUUUUCAUUUCACAUCAUUCUCUUCUUCCUUUCGAUCUCUCCCCCUCUCAGAACCAUCUCCAACUCUCAUCUUUCUGUAAACAUGAACCCUAAAAGCAUCAAAACAGAAACAAAUAAAAACCAAGACACGGAUAAAAAAGCACGGAUGGAAGAUGCGGUUAGGGUUUCACAUACGUCACUUCUUAUCCGCCUCCGCCUCUCUCUCUCUCUAUCUUUCCCCCCUCCCCUCUAUCUAGUGGUGAUUCAAAAACAGCAAGCGAUUGAUGAAGAUUUCACCAGAUCCGUUCUGAUUCUGCUAUCAUCGGCGGCUAUAGAUGGUGGUUGUCUGGUUAGGUUAGCCAUUCCGACUACUCGACAAUCCUAAGAACGAUGGAGAAGAGGUGCAGCUGAGACAAUAGUGUUAUAGUUUAUGGGAAUACGAACAAUAGUGUUAUAUAACAAGGAUUCAGGGUCAAGUACCAGAUGUGAGCAGCUUUGGAGUCUGUCACGAACCCAGGCGCGCGGCGCCGAUGCCAGAGAGUAGUCCUGAUGUUGAUGAGUUCUUACUUGGUUCGUACUUUUCUAGGGUUUCAAAAUUUUCAACUCAUCUCCAUCUCUGAAUUUAGUGAGGGUGCCUUUUAAAAAACUACGAUAUUUU